UGGGGAAUUUUGGACAAUGGGCGAAAGCCUGAUCCAGCAAUGCCGCGUGUGUGAAGAAGGCCUUCGGGUUGUAAAGCACUUUUGUCCGGAAAGAAAUCCUUGGCUCUAAUACAGUCGGGGGAUGACGGUACCGGAAGAAUAAGCACCGGCUAACUACGUGCCAGCAGCCGCGGUAAUACGCAGGGUGCAAGCGUUAAUCGGAAUUACUGGGCGUAAAGCGUGCGCAGGCGGUUUGCUAAGACCGAUGUGAAAUCCCCGGGCUCAACCUGGGAACUGCAUUGGUGACUGGCAGGCUAGAGUAUGGCAGAGGGGGGUAGAAUUCCACGUGUAGCAGUGAAAUGCGUAGAGAUGUGGAGGAAUACCGAUGGCGAAGGCAGCCCCCUGGGCCAAUACUGACGCUCAUGCACGAAAGCGUGGGGAGCAAACAGGAUUAGAUACCCUGGUAGUCCACGCCCUAAAACGACGUCAACUAGUUGUUGGGGAUUCAUUUCCUUAGUAACGUAGCUAACGCGUGAAGUUGACCGCCUGGGGAGUACGGUCGCAAGAUUAAAACUCAAAUGAAUUGACGGGGUCAUAGCUGUUUCCU
This 586-nucleotide ribosomal RNA is filed under the name uncultured bacterium. Its description in RNAcentral is "partial 16S ribosomal RNA". It matches the Rfam family "Bacterial small subunit ribosomal RNA", at positions 355 to 1375 of the family's 1533-position model. The record is from RNAcentral.